UUGAUUGAUUUGUUUUUUUCUCAGACUGCAAUACUAUACAGAGUUUGGGUCUCCGACGGACGGAGGGGGGCCACCUUUUACAAAGUAAGAGGCCGCCCACCCCGCACGGAUCACCACUUUACAGUGACAACCCCAUCCGUCAAAGCAACGGGUUCAAUACAAGGGUGGAGACCGUGAAUAAUCACAGAACUCGGUAAUGAUCCUUCCGCAGGUUCACCUACGGAAA
Molecule: unclassified non-coding RNA, 226 nt
Filed under: uncultured fungus
Lineage: Eukaryota; Fungi
Description: sequence contains ITS1
Source: RNAcentral